CCUACGGGCGGCAGCAGUGGGGAAUAUUGGACAAUGGGCGAAAGCCUGAUCCAGCCAUGCCGCGUGUGGGAAGAAGGCCUUCGGGUUGUAAAGCACUUUCAGUGGGGAAGAAAGCCUUGGGGCUAAUACCCUCGAGGAAGGACAUCACCCACAGAAGAAGCACCGGCUAACUCCGUGCCAGCAGCCGCGGUAAUACGGAGGGUGCGAGCGUUAAUCGGAAUUACUGGGCGUAAAGCGCGCGUAGGCGGUCUGAUAAGCCGGUUGUGAAAGCCCCGGGCUCAACCUGGGAACGGCAUCCGGAACUGUCAGGCUAGAGUGCAGGAGAGGAAGGUAGAAUUCCCGGUGUAGCGGUGAAAUGCGUAGAGAUCGGGAGGAAUACCAGUGGCGAAGGCGGCCUUCUGGACUGACACUGACGCUGAGGUGCGAAAGCGUGGGUAGCAAACAGGAUUAGAUACCCUGGUAGUC
RNAcentral lists this ribosomal RNA (465 nucleotides) under Vreelandella stevensii. RNAcentral describes it as "partial 16S ribosomal RNA". It matches the Rfam family "Bacterial small subunit ribosomal RNA", at positions 338 to 795 of the family's 1533-position model. Lineage: Bacteria; Pseudomonadati; Pseudomonadota; Gammaproteobacteria; Oceanospirillales; Halomonadaceae. The record is from RNAcentral.